This 253-nucleotide ribosomal RNA is filed under the name uncultured bacterium. RNAcentral describes it as "partial 16S ribosomal RNA". It matches the Rfam family "Bacterial small subunit ribosomal RNA", at positions 524 to 776 of the family's 1533-position model. The record is from RNAcentral.
UACGUAGGGUGCGAGCGUUGUCCGGAAUUAUUGGGCGUAAAGAGCUUGUAGGCGGUCUGUCGCGUCUGCUGUGAAAAUCCGGGGCUCAACCCCGGACUUGCAGUGGGUACGGGCAGACUAGAGUGUGGUAGGGGAGACUGGAAUUCCUGGUGUAGCGGUGAAAUGCGCAGAUAUCAGGAGGAACACCGAUGGCGAAGGCAGGUCUCUGGGCCACUACUGACGCUGAGACACGAAGGCCAGGGGAGCAAACGGG